This 1179-nucleotide ribosomal RNA is filed under the name Triticum aestivum (bread wheat). Its description in RNAcentral is "partial small subunit ribosomal RNA". The record is from RNAcentral. Lineage: Eukaryota; Viridiplantae; Streptophyta; Magnoliopsida; Poales; Poaceae.
AUGAAGCCCCGCCACCUCCCGCCGGUCCUUGUACUCGCCUUGCUUUCCCUCCUCUCCCUCUCCCUCCGCCGCCACCUCACCCCCCUACAGCUGCCGCUUCGUCCCGCCGCCGGGGACCCGCUCCUUCGUCGCCUCGCCGCGGUGGAAGGCGUGGGAUCCGAGCAAGUCCUCGCCGACGCGGCUGCACUGCUCGUGAAUGGCUCGAUAUCCACGUUCCCCAGCCUUGGCAACCGCCAGCGCCUCCUCUACCUCCGCCUCCCGUACGUCCGCUCCGCCCGCGGCCCGCCGAGGCCGAGGACCGUGUCCCGCCUCCGCAUCCCCGCCGAGGCACUCCCCUCCGACGAAUCCCUGCUCGCGUCCUUCCGCACGUCUCUCCACUCCUUCCUCCUCGCCCACCACCGCCGCCGCCGGGGCGGAACCGGUAAUGUGGCCAGCGUCAUGAGCGAGCUCGCCGGCGUCCUCGGGCGGCGCUUCCCGACCUGCGCGGUCGUAGGGAAUAGCGGCGGGCUCCUCGGCUCCGGCCGCGGACCGCAGAUCGACGCGCACGAGCUCGUCAUCCGCCUCAACAACGCACGCGUGGCCGGCUUCGUCGCCGACGUCGGCGCCAAAACCUCGCUCUCCUUCGUCAACUCCAACAUCCUCCACCUCUGCGCGUCCCGCAGUGCCGCCACCGCCGCAGGCUGCGGGUGCCACCCGUAUGGCCCCACCGUGCCCAUGGCCAUAUACAUCUGCCAGCCCGCGCACCUCCUGGACGCCCUCAUCUGCAACGCAACCGCCACCCACGCCUCCCCAUUCCCGCUCCUCGUCACCGACGCGCGCCUGGACGCGCUCUCGGCGCGCAUUGCCAAGUACUACUCGAUCCGGCGAUUCGUGUCGGACACGGGUGCUCCGGCGAGCAACUGGACCCGGAAGCACGACGAGAGGUACUUCCACUAUUCGUCAGGUAUGCAGGCGGUGGUGAUGGCGCUGGGGGUAUGCGAGGAACUGAGCCUAUUCGGGUUCGGCAAGCCGGCAGGGGCCAAGCACCAUUAUCACACGAACCAGAAGAAGGAGCUGGACCUGCACGACUACCAGGCGGAGUACGAUUUCUACGGCCACCUCCAGGCGCGGCCGGAGAUGGUGCCGUUCCUUGACGAGGCCCAAGGCUUCACGGUGCCGCCGGUCAGGUUGUACUGGUGA